CUGGGAGCGAAAAGAAAUAUGUUAAAGAACUUUGAAAUAAUAAGCUACAAAACAAAUAAUAGGCUAAUAAAUAGUUUGACUGUUAUAAAUAGAAAAUAUCCUUGGUUCAAAUCGAAAAUAUUGGCACUCUUGGAUCCCGACUAACCCAAGGGUGGGCCAUCGACCCAUGCAUCGACUUCCAACUUUAUUGUCAAUGUGCUCACAUAUAUCAACCAUCGAUCCAUGCUUCAAUUGCUGAUCCUUACAUCGGUGGCUGACCCUUAUCUCUAUGCCUAUGAAGUUUCUGAUCUACACAUCAAUCG
RNAcentral lists this long non-coding RNA (302 nucleotides) under Elaeis guineensis (African oil palm). RNAcentral describes it as "long non-coding RNA (EGUI_LNC009024)". The record is from RNAcentral. Lineage: Eukaryota; Viridiplantae; Streptophyta; Magnoliopsida; Arecales; Arecaceae.